Long non-coding RNA from Gorilla gorilla gorilla (western lowland gorilla), 2545 nucleotides. RefSeq lists it as uncharacterized. Lineage: Eukaryota; Metazoa; Chordata; Mammalia; Primates; Hominidae. The transcript has 3 exons. The record is from RefSeq and is a predicted model, not a curated record.
UGGAUUGGUUACGAGUCUAUAGUUAAUCCUUCAAUAACUCCCACAAGCACCUCAUUACUCAUAAUACUGUGACAUCCUGAGUUGUAAAAGAGGUGCUGUUACAUAACACAGGCACUGUAUAGCAGCCUUAGGUCAUGAAUAUUAAGAGACAAUCUCAAAUGAGAUAAUAUCAAUAAAGACCUCCUGUCGUCUCUACCCAAGAAAUAAACUAAAGGAAGGCAGUGUCCUUGCAGGCAUUUUGACAUCAGGGAUGGGCAAAAACAUACAUCCAUUUAAGAAUUCUAGAAUCAGAGACUAGGAAGAGUUGAAACAACCUUACAGAUCACUUGAUGCACUUUAUAUAGACCCAGGGGAGAAACAAAAAGACCAACCACUAAAGCUGCUAAAACAAGAUAAAGCAUACUGCAAGGGAAAGGCUGGAGCAGUUCACUGGCUGAAGUUGUAAACUCCAUCAAGAGACACACAAUCAGAUGGCACAACUGUCUUCGGUGGGUCACAGUUUUCCAAGUACAAAGGCGGUGCCUACCGAAGCUCUGGGAUUCUGGAAAAUAUACUGGACUUGGAGUAAGACAAUCUCAGUCCACGUUCCUAGUUCUAGGAUUUUAGGCAUAACACUUGGCUUUUAGGGCAUUGUAUUUUCUUUAUAGUAACAUGGUAUUAAAAUGAUGCCUAUCAACAGGCUUGUCAGGAUGAGUCAACAGCAUAUUAGAUGGGAAAACACCAUAAAGUACAAAAGGCUUGUUAUCGUCAGUCUCCUUUGGUUGUUAUAUUGGUUAAGAGGACUAAUUGUUGCCUCUCUCCAAGUUCAGAACUAAUUCAAACAUACAUAGAGGAGUCAGAGGUGGAUCAAACAUUAUUUUUAUUACUAGUUAAGUUGGAUUUAAGAACAUGGCUUGACUUAUAGCUUCCUACUGUAUCCUAUAACACACUAUUUUUUCAUAUUCUGCCCUUUCUCCUUCAUUAUACUAUAAGCUUUUGGAGAGAAGAAAUUAUGCUUUAUAUCUCUCUGCAUCCCUAGAGUUUUUCACACAGCCAUAACCCCAGCAGGUGUGCUAUUUGAUAAAGGAGACUGCAUUUGUACCACAGUUUUCUGUGUGAAGCCUUUUUUCUCCACUGGCCUGGGAACUCUUGGAGGGCAGGGUUCAUGUCUUUUCAUUCCCAGUGCUUAGCAUAAUACCUAGCACUUAGUAGAUUCUUUAUAAAAGUGUGUUGAAAGAUCAUGAAAACAGAAGGGUACCAAAUGAUCUGGUGCCACCCAGGGGUUGCAGAGAGGGAUUUAUUUAUUUAUUUAUUUAUUUUUAGGAUUAUUAUGAAUAACAGUGAAUAUAAAUAUGGAUUGCAAAUAGUCCUUUUGGUGAUUUCAAAAUUUUCUGGUUGGCCUCUGAGACAGGUGGCAUCUUAAUGAAAGAGGGGAAGCUCCCCAUCUGGGAAGGCUCAGAAGUGGGGCCUACCCUAUUUCCUUAACACUCAGGACACUAGGAAGCCUUGCAGUUUACUUGUAUCCAAGUGAGGGGAUUUGCCUAUUCUGUUAUCUACUUUGAAAUGUUAGCUCCUAAAACAUGGGCAGGUAGCUUAAAAAGACGUCUGAAAUAAACACUGGAUUGAAGGCAAUGCUAAUAACGGAAGCACAAGUGAACAACAAGCAAAAGGCAGGCUGACACUUCUAUUAUUCUUGAUAUAAACUUUUCUUCAACCAUGUUAUAAAGUAAAAAAUAAUGAUGAAAUAAGCAGAGAGGGAUUUAAAGGAGGGCUGUCUUCUAAGGAUCCCAUUCUUGACAGUUUGUUCAUUUGGAAAAUAGCACUACCUGCAAAUUAUUGUGAUUGAAGGUUUUAUUUGAGACAGUUUUCCCCAGGAGAAACUUCAGCUUCUGUUUACUUGUUAGGCACCCUGGCUAUCUGGGCAUCUGAGCCCUGGACAUCUUAAUUAGAGUUGGUCUGCUAAUGUCCAUAGCAGAGAGGAACUGUCACUUGGUAAUUAACUUAGAGCCAUGACAGAAGCCUGUGACAUCUGAUGUUUCAGAAUAUAACAACCCUUGUUCUUCUCCCAAGGGAUGCAUACGCCAUGAAACAAUUUCCUUUGGAGUUUCUGGUAGAAUCUGCUAACAUAAUAUCUAAGAUGAGAUGGCAUGCAGAGGUCUCUGUAAGGAGUGAGGACCUCAAAACACUCUUGUGAAGUAUGCUGCUCCUCAGUUCAGGGCCUUGCAGAGGAUCUGAGACAACAAACCUUCCUGUACAGAUAAACUCUUGGUGCCUCAGUGGGGUGAGUGCAUGAGAUGUGGCUUACUCAGCUGUGGCCACCUGGGCAGGGUUGUUGUGGAGUCAGGUCCUCUGCUUUAUGUGAUUCUUUCUGUGUUUUUUAAGCCCUGAGCUGUGCUUCCAGAGACGUCUGCACCUGUGCACUGCAUUUUGGACUAUAUGCUCUGUGGACGCUGUGAGAAUCCCCUAACUUUGCUUUUUUUUUUUUUAGGACAAAUCAGAAUAAAACAAUUCAACUUUCAAGGUAUUAAAAGGAUUCACCAACUCCUAUCUCUUAACACAAUGGCCA